GGUAAAAUGCAGUUUUUGGCUUAUCACUCAAAAACCAAAGCAUUUAGAGCAAAUCUGACAUGGGGUAAAAUUGUUCAUCAGGUCAAGAUCUAUCUGCCCUGAAAUUUUCAGAUGAAUCGGACAACCCGUUAUUGGGUUGCUGCCCCUGAAUUGGUAAUUUUAAGGAAAUUUUGCUGUUUUUGGUUAUUAUCUUGAAUAUUAUUAUAGAUAGAGAUAAACUGUAAACAGCAAUAAUGUUCAGCAAAGUAAGAUUAACAAAUAAGUCAACAUGACUGAAAUGGUCAGUUGACCCCUUUAGGAGUUAUUGCCCUUUAUAGUCAAUUUUUAACCAUUUUUCGUAAAUCUUAGUAAUCUUUUACAAAAAUCUUCUCCUCUGAAACUCCGUGGCCAAAUUAAACCAAACUUGGCCACAAUCAUCAUUUGGUUAUCUAGUUUUAAAAAUGUGUGGCUUGACCUGGUCAACCAACCAAGAUGGCCGCCACGGCUAAAAAUAGAACAUAGGGGUAAAAUUCAGUUUUUGGCUUUUAACUCAAAAACCAAAGCAUUUAAAGCAAAUCUGACAUGAAGUAAAAUUGUUUAUCAGGUCAAGAUCUAUCUGCCCUGAAAUUUUCAGAUGAAUCGGACAACCCGUUAUUGGGUUGCUGCCCCUGAAUUGGUAAUUUUAAGGAAAUUUUGCUGUUUUUGGUUAUUAUCUUGAAUAUUAUUAUAGAUAGAGAUAAACUGUAAACAGCAAUAAUGUUCAGCAAAGUAAGAUUUACAAAUAAGUCAAUAUAACCGAAAUGGUCAGUUGACCCCUUUAGGAGUAAUUGCCCUUUAUAGUCAAUUUUUAACCAUUUUUCGUAAAUCUUAGUAAUCUUUUACAAAAAUCUUCUCCUCUGAAACAACUGGGCCAAAUUAAACCAAACUUGGCCACAAUCAUCAUUUGGUUAUCUAGUUUUGAAAAUGUGUGGCGUGACCUGGUCAACCAACCAAGAUGGCCGCCACGGCUAAAAAUAGAACAUAGGGGUAAAAUUCAGUUUUUGGCUUUUAACUCAAAAACCAAAGCAUUUAAAGCAAAUCUGACAUGAAGUAAAAUUGUUUAUCAGGUCAAGAUCUAUCUGCCCUGAAAUUUUCAGAUGAAUCGGACAACCCGUUGUUGGGUUGCUGCCCCUGAAUUGGUAAUUUUAAGGAAAUUUUGCCGUUUUUGGUUAUCAUCUUGAAUAUUAUUAUAGAUAGAGAUAAACUGUAAACAGCAAUAAUGUUCAGCAAAGUAAGAUCUACAAAUAAGUCAACUUGACCAAAAUGGUCAGUUGACCCCUUAAGGAGUUAUUGCCCUUUAUAGUCAAUUUUUAACCAUUUUUCGUAAAUUUUUGUAAUUUUUUACAAAAAUCUUCUCCUCUGAAACUACUAAGACAAAUUUAACCAAACUUGUCCACAAUCAUCAUUAGGGUAUCUUGUUUAAAAAAUGUGUCCAAUGACCCCGCCCGUGAACCAAGAUGGCCGACAUGGCUAAAAAAUAGUACAUAGGGUAAAAUGCAGUUUUUGGCUCAUAUCUCUGAAACCAAAGCAUUUAGAGCAAAUCUGAUGAGUAUAAAAUUGUUCAUUAGGUCAAGAUCUAUCUGCCCUGAAAUUUUCAGACCAAUCAGGCAACCCGUUGUUGGGUUGCUGCCCCUGAAUUGGUAAUUUUAAGGAAAUUUUGCCGUUUUUGGUUAUUAUCUUGAAUAUUAUUAUAGAUAGAGAUAAACUGUAAACAGCAAUAAUGUACAGCAAAGUUAGAUCUACAAAUAAGGCAACAUGACCAAAAUUGUCAGUUGACCCCUUAAGGAGUUAUUGCCCUUUAUAGUCAAUUUUUAACCAUUUUUCGUAAAUUUUUGUAAUUUUUUACAAAAAUCUUCUCCUCUGAAACUACUAAGACAAAUUUAACCAAACUUGUCCACAAUCAUCAUUAGGGUAUCUAGUUUAAAAAAUGUGUCUGAUGACCCCGCCUGCGAACCAAGAUGGCCGACAUGGCUAAAAAAUAGUACAUAGGGUAAAAUGCAGUUUUUGGCUCAUAUCUCUGAAACCAAAGCAUUUAGAGCAAAUCUGAUGAGUAUAAAAUUGUUCAUUAGGUCAAGAUCUAUCUGCCCUGAAAUUUUCAGACCAAUCGGGCAACACAUUGUUGGGUUGCUGCCCCUGAAUUGGUAAUUUUAAGAAAAUUUUGCAGCUUUUGGUUAUUAUCUUGAAUAUUAUUAUAGAUAGAGAUAAACUGUAAACAGCAAUAAUGUACAGCAAAGUUAGAUCUACAAAUAAGGCAACAUGACCAAAAUUGUCAAUUGACCCCUUAAGGAGUUAUUGCCCUUUAUAGUCAAUUUUUUACAAUUUUCAUAAAUUUUGUAAAUUUUUGUAAAUUUUUACAAAGUAUUUUCCACUGUAUCUACCGGGCCAAGUUCAUUAUAGAUAGAGAUAAUAGUAAGGAGCAAAAAUGUUCAGUAAAGUAAGAUCUACAAACACAUCACCAUCACCAAAACACAUCACCAUCACCAAAACACAAUUUUGUCAUGAAUCCAUCUGUGUCCUUUGUUUAAUAUGCACAUAGACCAAGGUGAGCGACACAGGCUCUUUAGAGCCUCUAGUUUUUUACAUUUUUGCCCAUUAUCUUGAAAACUAUAAUAGAUAGGGAGAAACUUUAAAUUGCAAAAAUGAUCAGCAAUACAAGUUCUACAAAUUAACACAUGGUCGAACUCGUCAGUCGUCUCCUUAUUAGAGUAAUUGCCCUUUGAUGACGAUUUUGACCAAUUUUUUGCGUUUUUGCCUUAUAUCUUAUAGAUUACAAUAGAUAGAUAGAAUCUUAAAUUGGCAAAAAUGAUCAGCAAGACAAGAUCUACUAUGUAGACAAUAUGGAGGAAAUCUUCCGAUGACUCCUUAUUGGAGCUAUUGGCCUUAAAUGACGAUUUUUACCAUUUUCUUGCAUUUUGCCUUAUGUGAUAAAAUUUAUGAUAGAAAAAUAGACACUUUUAAUCACAAAAAUUAUCAGCAAGGCAAGAUCUUCUAUUAAGUCCAAUUUUGCCGAUAUAGUUAGUAGACUGUCACUCUUUACAGGAGUGAUUGCCCUUAAAUGACGAAUUUUUUAACCUCUUUUGUGUUUUGAGCAAAAACUAAAGAAGAUAGAGAGAAACUAAACAGACUAAAUAAUCAGCAAUACAAAAUCAACAAAACAGAGAUUUUUGUCAUGAAUUCUAUUCUCGUCUACAAUGUUAGAGAGUGUCCUUUGUUGAAUAUGCAAAUAGACCAAGGUGAGCAACACAGGCUCUUUAGAGCCUCUAGUUUUACAGAGGUUUUGUCUUUCUUUUGUUAUUUACAUUCUUUUAUUGUUUGUAUAUGCUCAGGAACUAAAUCUUGCUUCUAUAAUUAAAAUAAAAUAAACAAAAUGUAAUAAAUAUAUAAAAAUCAAA
Molecule: long non-coding RNA, 3410 nt
Organism: Mytilus californianus (California mussel)
Lineage: Eukaryota; Metazoa; Mollusca; Bivalvia; Mytilida; Mytilidae
Exons: 2
Source: RefSeq, a predicted model, not a curated record